This 811-nucleotide ribosomal RNA is filed under the name Arthrobacter sp. ND64. RNAcentral describes it as "bacterial SSU rRNA". It matches the Rfam family "Bacterial small subunit ribosomal RNA", at positions 700 to 1502 of the family's 1533-position model. Lineage: Bacteria; Bacillati; Actinomycetota; Actinomycetes; Micrococcales; Micrococcaceae. The record is from RNAcentral.
GGGUGAUCCGGAAUGGCGAAAGCAGGUCUCUGGGCAUUAACUGACGCUAAGGAGCGAAAGCAUGGGGAGCGAACAGGAUUUGAUACCCUGGUAGUCCAUGCCGUAAACGUUGGGCACUAGGUGUGGGGGACAUUCCACGUUUUCCGCGCCGUAGCUAACGCAUUAAGUGCCCCGCCUGGGGAGUACGGCCGCAAGGCUAAAACUCAAAGGAAUUGACGGGGGCCCGCACAAGCGGCGGAGCAUGCGGAUUAAUUCGAUGCAACGCGAAGAACCUUACCAAGGCUUGACAUGAACCGGACCGCUGCAGAAAUGUGGUUUCCCUUUUGGGGCUGGUUUACAGGUGGUGCAUGGUUGUCGUCAGCUCGUGUCGUGAGAUGUUGGGUUAAGUCCCGCAACGAGCGCAACCCUCGUUCUAUGUUGCCAGCACGUGAUGGUGGGGACUCAUAGGAGACUGCCGGGGUCAACUCGGAGGAAGGUGGGGACGACGUCAAAUCAUCAUGCCCCUUAUGUCUUGGGCUUCACGCAUGCUACAAUGGCCGGUACAAAGGGUUGCGAUACUGUGAGGUGGAGCUAAUCCCAAAAAGCCGGUCUCAGUUCGGAUUGGGGUCUGCAACUCGACCCCAUGAAGUCGGAGUCGCUAGUAAUCGCAGAUCAGCAACGCUGCGGUGAAUACGUUCCCGGGCCUUGUACACACCGCCCGUCAAGUCACGAAAGUUGGUAACACCCGAAGCCGGUGGCCUAACCCCUUUUUGGGGAGGGAGCUGUCGAAGGUGGGACUGGCGAUUGGGACUAAGUCGUAACAGGUUAACCG